UGAGGAAUAUUUAUUGGACUCAAUUUCGUGUUGGAUCUAAUAAAUUGAAUAAAUAAUACAAAAAUCCAGUCUGGUGGAAAAUAAAUUGUGGGCUGCACAAUUUAAAUAAAAUACAAAGGACCGUGAAUCAAACUAAUUUACUUAAAUCUUUUCCUCCUUGACUUGGUCACCAAGACUUUCCUUAGUUCAAAUUUUAAAUAAAUAUUCUGCAGAGAUUUUUCCUCUCCUCCAUGAUCUGCAAAUAAAAUUCCAAACAAGUAAAAUUAGUCAAUCUCACGUUAAAAAAAACUGUAUCCCACUCCUUUCCCACGUUCAAUAAUAAAUCAUCCCACUCCGUGAAUCUUUUCCAAAUCUAAACCACCAAUCAGCUGUUAAUUCCAAUUAUUUAGGGAAUCAAUUUCCUCAAUUAAUCAAUCCAGGAACGAUUGUUUUUAUACCCUAAUCUCCUUCUCCACCUCCACUCGCUCAUACAAACACUCUCGCAGUGAAGAAUACGACAGAGAAGAAGAAGCAUCAUCCAAUGCCUCCAUCUCCUUCCCAACGCUGAAUCUAAAUUUCAAAAUGAAAAGCAGAUCGAGAGGAGUUUCGCCACCGAUCGGACUAACAUUCGAGACUUGUGGUUUAGGUAUAAGAUUUUCUCAACACUUUUCUUCGUCUCAUACGAAUGCAUUCAUAACAGCGCCUCAUCUAAAUCCAUGACUCUUUAUGAAAUAAAUUCAGACAGCUUUGUGCGACGGAAAUAGAUCAAAGGGGAAAAGCACAAACUCGUCCUCCCUUUCUCAAAUUGAAUCUGCUAUACCUACGGUGAAUCCUCGCAAGCGAAACGUGAUACCAAGGGGAAGAAAAUACUUGUGAAUUAAGAACUCGAGGUAGGGGAGAGAUCACAAUUAGUGACAACGUUAGCAAGUCCACCUACAAGAUAGAGAGCGCGACGCUUAAGUAUGAAGAGGCGCAACAAGCUAAGAUGGAGUAUUAAUGCAGGGUGGUCAUGAUGACCGACACAACAAAACCUCGUGGACCACUAGAAGGGGAAGAUCUUUCUAACCCUUCUAUUUUUAUUGUUAACACUUUACCUCAUGCUCCUAAAAAGGGCACGCCUAAGCCUCCUAAGGUUCCUUCGCAGGAAAAACCAAAGAGGAAAAAGAAAACUCAACCGCAACUCGACCUCGAAAUCAAUGUGAUCAAGACCGCGAAAGGGAAAUACAAAUGGUGGAAAAGUUGGACACUAAAUUGGUCCAAUUCGCGGGUUUCAGCACUAGGGUCGUCGAUCCGCCCACCUAGUUGGGUCACUUCAAGUCGAGCCAACGACAUAAAACAAAGACGCUUAUUGGGAGGCAACCCAAUUUGUUUUUCCUUAUUUUCGUUUAUCUGUAAUUUUCGUGCACUUUGCACAUAAAAAAAAUUUAAUUCGUAGCGGCCGUUGCACAAUCCACAGCGGUCGCUGCCCUUUUUACACGUGUGCAGGUAUCGGUCGGGCCCUGGGGCGGGCUGCAGCGGUCGAUGUGUAGGUCGCAGCGGCCUGGAGAGACGCACCGUUUUUUCAUAAGACGUGCAACGGUCGCUGCGCGAAGGUCAGUGACGCGAACUGCUUCUAUAAAGGUAGGUUUUCUCAUUCAAAUUUUCAUCUUUUCUCUCCAUUCUUCCUUGCACACGACCCCAACUCAAUUUCAUCAUCAAUUUCACACACCCACACUCUCAUUCAUCCAUUGCAUCUCAAUUCUCAAGCUUUCAUCAAGCAAUUUCACUUCAACACAAGGUAUGAAUCCUAACUUUGAUUUCUAAGUUUAGUUUCAAUUCUUUCAUGGAUUUUGCUCUCUAUUGUUGAAUUGUUCGGAUGAAAAGCAUGCUUUAGUAUGGGGGAUGAGUGUGAUGAUGUUUCUCCUUGCUUUUCAUGGUUAGAUUUUUUCCUAGGGUGGUGAAUUGUUUUUUUUUUUGGUGAUUUCCAUCUUGGUCUUUGUUGUUUAUAAAUUGCAAUCAUGUUCAUAGCAUUGUGAGGCUAUUAUUACUUCCAUGAAUUGCAAUACUUGUGUAGAUUAUAAAGAUUGUUGUUUUGUGAUAUCUAUGUUGAUACGCCUCUGCAUGGGGGAUUAAUUCACGUUGGGGGAUGGAUUGUUGUUGUUCUUUUGUGUUGGUGUUGAUUUACAUGUUCACAUGCUGCACUUUAGAACACAUAUUGACACAAGCUUGCACUUCAUUGUUUAUUUUUGAUAUAUGUGUGGUUGAGUGCAAGUUUGAGGGAAACCCUUGUUUGUCUAUUUGUAUGGUGCUCUUCUAAGAACUUGAUUUUUUUUAUAGGAAGAUGACAACAAGAGGCAAUCCCUAAAACGCGAAGAGCUAUGGAAUUAGCCUUCCGAUGGAUGACCACAAGGCAAUGUGAAAGAAGGUCUCGGCUAGAGAUACGAUGCCUUCUCGGUACCCACACGAGCUUCCCCCUCGCUACCUUGGGGAUUAUUGAAGAUUUCUAGGUGUUGUACAACGUCGGGGAGGGGAAUGGUUUGAGCCACAUGUUCCAAAGAAGGUGUCCGUCCUACAGGAGACUCACUCUGGAGUUUCUUAGAACCCUCAAGGUGCACAAAAACCACCGUUCCCGCAUCCCCGAGACGAUAGACUUCCGCUUCGGCAACCGCAACCAUUCCUUCUCCAUGGAGGAUCUCUGCGAGGUGUUUCAUUGCUACAACCUCAACCCCGGCGAAGAAGUGGAGUACGACUACUUCGAUGUUUGGGGUGCCAUGACUAUAGAGGGAGAUGACUUCAUCCCGGCUUAUGCCAAGUCUUCCUCCAUCCGUAACCCUGUCCUAAGGUUUUUGGACUCUCGUCAGCGACCGCUGCAGUGCGCGCAGCAGCCCACUGUACACCCACUGGAAACAUUCUGACCAUUGCCACUGGAUGAUCACCAGCGACCGCUGCCUAAUUGUAGUUUCCAGCGCGAUUUUUUGAACUUUUCGAAUUUUCACCCCAUCCAGCCCCUACGCGAAAUUUUUCAAGCUAUGUUUUCUUUUCAGUAGUUUACUCAUGUCCUUAUUGACUCUACAAACUUAUUUUACACUUUGUUGUAAAAAAGGUUUGUGGGGAUGAAGUGGUGGACCGUGAGUUUAGGGUUUUGUUUUAGGUUUUUAGUUUAAAUGUUUGUUUU
This is a long non-coding RNA of Salvia splendens (bonfire salvia), 3133 nucleotides long. RefSeq lists it as uncharacterized. Lineage: Eukaryota; Viridiplantae; Streptophyta; Magnoliopsida; Lamiales; Lamiaceae. The record is from RefSeq and is a predicted model, not a curated record. The transcript is spliced from 4 exons.